Molecule: long non-coding RNA, 366 nt
Filed under: Populus trichocarpa (black cottonwood)
Lineage: Eukaryota; Viridiplantae; Streptophyta; Magnoliopsida; Malpighiales; Salicaceae
Description: long non-coding RNA (PTRI_LNC000719)
Source: RNAcentral
AAAAUCCUGCGAGCAUCAAAAUCUGUAGGCCCGUGUGAUUUCUAACUUUUCUACUGGCAAUAAGGACAGCGUAUGAAACAAGACUAACACAUUCAUGCAGUGAACGAGAAAACAGGAGGUAAGCUUAUUUCUAAUGCUGCUAGGCAUAUCAAUUGCAUCAAAAACUAGGCAAAAUUUAAUUUUAAUUGCAGGGCUCACUGCCUGACAUUCUUUGAAGGGGACAGUAACAUUGAAAUUACAAGGAUGACUCAAACAAAGGCCAAAAGAACAGCUCCAAAUCUAUUCCUCAGAGAACAACGCUCAUCUGCUGUUGUUGCUGCUACGACCACUUCCUAUAUUGUUGGGGGUGGGGAAAAAAUAAAUUGG